AUUGCUUCUCCACCUUUUGGCUAAGAUCAAGUGUAGUAUCUGUUCUUAACAAUUUAACAUCAUGGACUUCCUAAUAUGAUGCACUGAAAAGGAUGUCAUAUAGGACUUUUGUGCAGUCUUGCUCAAAAUGCAAGCCACGAAUCUAAUCCUCAGGACAUACUCACAAAUCCAAAUCGAGGGGCACUCCA
Molecule: small nuclear RNA, 188 nt
Filed under: Carlito syrichta (Philippine tarsier)
Lineage: Eukaryota; Metazoa; Chordata; Mammalia; Primates; Tarsiidae
Description: U2 spliceosomal RNA (ENSTSYG00000023829.2)
Rfam family: U2 spliceosomal RNA
About the family: U2 is a small nuclear RNA (snRNA) component of the spliceosome (involved in pre-mRNA splicing). Complementary binding between U2 snRNA (in an area lying towards the 5' end but 3' to hairpin I) and the branchpoint sequence (BPS) of the intron results the bulging out of an unpaired adenosine, on the BPS, which initiates a nucleophilic attack at the intronic 5' splice site, thus starting the first of two transesterification reactions that mediate splicing.
Source: Rfam by way of RNAcentral